CCUACGGGAGGCAGCAGUGGGGAAUAUUGCACAAUGGGCGAAACCCUGAUCCAGCGACGUAGCGUGAGUGAAGACGUACCUAUGUAUUGUAAGCUGUUUCUGUAGGGGAGUAAAUUACGGUACCUGACUAAUUAGCUCCGGCUAACUACGUGCCAGCAGCCGCGGUAAUACGGAGGGGGCGAGCGUUAUCCGGAUUGACUGGGUGUAAAGGGAGCGUAGUCGGCUCGGCAAGUCUGACGUGAAAGGCAGGGGCUUAACCACUGAACUGCUUUGGAAACUGGCAUGCUAGAGUGCUGGGGAGGUAAGUGGAAUUCGUGGUGUAGCGGUGAAAUGCGUAGAUAUUAGGAAGAACACCAGUGGCGAAGGCAGCAUACUGGAGCGCAACUGACGUUGAGGCUCGAAAGCGUGGGGAGCAAACAGGAUUAGAUACCCGAGUAGUC
Molecule: ribosomal RNA, 440 nt
Filed under: uncultured bacterium
Lineage: Bacteria
Description: partial 16S ribosomal RNA
Rfam family: Bacterial small subunit ribosomal RNA
Source: RNAcentral